Molecule: ribosomal RNA, 546 nt
Filed under: Bifidobacterium adolescentis
Lineage: Bacteria; Bacillati; Actinomycetota; Actinomycetes; Bifidobacteriales; Bifidobacteriaceae
Description: partial 16S ribosomal RNA
Rfam family: Bacterial small subunit ribosomal RNA
Source: RNAcentral
AACGGGUGGUAAUGCCGGAUGCUCCAGUUGACCGCAUGGUCCUCUGGGAAAGAUUCAUCGGUAUGGGAUGGGGUCGCGUCCUAUCAGCUUGAUGGCGGGGUAACGGCCCACCAUGGCUUCGACGGGUAGCCGGCCUGAGAGGGCGACCGGCCACAUUGGGACUGAGAUACGGCCCAGACUCCUACGGGAGGCAGCAGUGGGGAAUAUUGCACAAUGGGCGCAAGCCUGAUGCAGCGACGCCGCGUGCGGGAUGACGGCCUUCGGGUUGUAAACCGCUUUUGACUGGGAGCAAGCCCUUCGGGGUGAGUGUACCUUUCGAAUAAGCACCGGCUAACUACGUGCCAGCAGCCGCGGUAAUACGUAGGGUGCAAGCGUUAUCCGGAAUUAUUGGGCGUAAAGGGCUCGUAGGCGGUUCGUCGCGUCCGGUGUGAAAGUCCAUCGCUUAACGGUGGAUCCGCGCCGGGUACGGGCGGGCUUGAGUGCGGUAGGGGAGACUGGAAUUCCCGGUGUAACGGUGGAAUGUGUAGAUAUCGAAAAAGAACACCA